CCCGCUCAGAAACUUAAAGGAAUUGACGGGGGCCCGGCACAAGCGGUGGAGCAUGUGGUUUAAUUCGAUGAUACGCGAGGAACCUUACCUGGGCUCAAAUGUAUGUUGACGUAUUCUGAAAGGGAUACUUCUUCGGACAAUAUACAAGGUGCUGCAUGGUUGUCGUCAGCUCGUGCCGUGAGGUGUCGGGUUAAGUCCCAUAACGAGCGCAACCCCUAUCAUUAGUUGCCAUCAGGUCAAGCUGGGGACUCUAAUGAAACUGCCUACGCAAGUAGUGAGGAAGGUGGGGAUGACGUCAAAUCAGCACGGCCCUUAUGUCCUGGGCUACACACGUGCUACAAUGGCCGGUACAGAGUGAAGCGAAACCGCGAGGUGAAGCAAAACGCAGAAAGCCGGUCUCAGUACGGAUUGGAGUCUGAAACUCGACUUCAUGAAGUUGGAAUCGCUAGUAAUCGCGCAUCAGCCAUGGCGCGGUGAAUACGUUCCCGGGCCUU
RNAcentral lists this ribosomal RNA (494 nucleotides) under uncultured Sphingobacteriales bacterium. Its description in RNAcentral is "bacterial SSU rRNA". It matches the Rfam family "Bacterial small subunit ribosomal RNA", at positions 888 to 1382 of the family's 1533-position model. Lineage: Bacteria; Pseudomonadati; Bacteroidota; Sphingobacteriia; Sphingobacteriales. The record is from RNAcentral.